UACGAAGGGGGCUAGCGUUGCUCGGAAUCACUGGGCGUAAAGGGUGCGUAGGCGGGUCUUUAAGUCAGGGGUGAAAUCCUGGAGCUCAACCCCAGAACUGCCUUUGAUACUGAAGAUCUUGAGUUCGGGAGAGGUGAGUGGAACUGCGAGUGUAGAGGUGAAAUUCGUAGAUAUUCGCAAGAACACCAGUGGCGAAGGCGGCUCACUGGCCCGAUACUGACGCUGUGGCACGAAAGCGUGGGGAGCAAACAGG
RNAcentral lists this ribosomal RNA (253 nucleotides) under uncultured bacterium. RNAcentral's name for it is "partial 16S ribosomal RNA". It matches the Rfam family "Bacterial small subunit ribosomal RNA", at positions 524 to 776 of the family's 1533-position model. The record is from RNAcentral.